GAUGAACGCUGGCGGCGUGCCUAAUACAUGCAAGUCGAGCGAACAGAUAAGGAGCUUGCUCCUUUGAAGUUAGCGGCGGACGGGUGAGUAACACGUGGGUAACCUACCUAUAAGACUGGGAUAACUUCGGGAAACCGGAGCUAAUACCGGAUAACAUUUAGAACCGCAUGGUUCUAAAGUGAAAGAUGGUUUUGCUAUCACUUAUAGAUGGACCCGCGCCGUAUUAGCUAGUUGGUAAGGUAACGGCUUACCAAGGCGACGAUACGUAGCCGACCUGAGAGGGUGAUCGGCCACACUGGAACUGAGACACGGUCCAGACUCCUACGGGAGGCAGCAGUAGGGAAUCUUCCGCAAUGGGCGAAAGCCUGACGGAGCAACGCCGCGUGAGUGAUGAAGGGUUUCGGAUCGUAAAACUCUGCUAUUAGGGAAGAACAAAUGUGUAAGUAACUGUGCACAUCUUGACGGUACCUAAUCAGAAAGCCACGGCUAACUACGUG
RNAcentral lists this ribosomal RNA (497 nucleotides) under uncultured bacterium. Its description in RNAcentral is "partial 16S ribosomal RNA". It matches the Rfam family "Bacterial small subunit ribosomal RNA", at positions 28 to 507 of the family's 1533-position model. The record is from RNAcentral.